GUCUUUCGAACGUAGCGAAAGUGUUAAGUGCUCCCGCCUGGGGAGUAUGGUCGCAAGGCUGAAACUCAAAGGAAUUGACGGGGGCUCACACAAGCGGUGGAGGAUGUGGCUUAAUUCGAGGCUACGCGAAGAACCUUAUCCUAGUCUUGACAUGCUUAAGAACCUGACUGAAAGGUUGGGGUGCCCGCAAGGGAGCUUUUGCACAGGUGCUGCAUGGCUGUCGUCGGCUCGUGUCGUGAGAUGUCGGGUUAAGUCCCUUAACGAGCGAAACCCCUGUCUCUAGUUGCCAGCGCGUUAUGGCGGGGACUCUAGAGAGACUGCCGGUGUUAAACCGGAGGAAGGUGGGGAUGACGUCAAGUCCUCAUGGCCUUUAUGACUAGGGCUGCACACGUCCUACAAUGCAACAUACAAAGGGAACCAAAGUCGUGAGACCAAGGAAAUCUCAAAAAGUGUUGCUCAGUUCGGAUUGCAGGCUGCAACUCGCCUGCUAUGAAGCUGGAAUCGCUAGUAAUCGCGGGUCAG
This 522-nucleotide ribosomal RNA is filed under the name uncultured organism. RNAcentral describes it as "bacterial SSU rRNA". It matches the Rfam family "Bacterial small subunit ribosomal RNA", at positions 837 to 1352 of the family's 1533-position model. The record is from RNAcentral.